UAGGGAAUCUUCGGCAAUGGACGAAAGUCUGACCGAGCAACGCCGCGCGAGUGAAGAAGGUUUUCGGAUCGUAAAACUCUGUUGUUAGAGAAGAACAAGGACGUUAGUAACUGAACGUCCCCUGACGGUAUCUAACCAGAAAGCCACGGCUAACUACGUGCCAGCAGCCGCGGUAAUACGUAGGUGGCAAGCGUUGUCCGGAUUUAUUGGGCGUAAAGCGAGCGCAGGCGGUUUCUUAAGUCUGAUGUGAAAGCCCCCGGCUCAACCGGGGAGGGUCAUUGGAAACUGGGAGACUUGGGUGCAGAAGAGGAGAGUGGAAUUCCAUGUGUAGCGGUGAAAUGCGUAGAUAUAUGGAGGAACACCAGUGGCGAAGGCGGCUCUCUGGUCUGUAACUGACGCUGAGGCUCGAAAGCGUGGGGAGCAAACAGG
This 429-nucleotide ribosomal RNA is filed under the name Gemmatimonadota bacterium. RNAcentral's name for it is "Gemmatimonadetes bacterium partial 16S ribosomal RNA". It matches the Rfam family "Bacterial small subunit ribosomal RNA", at positions 355 to 776 of the family's 1533-position model. The record is from RNAcentral. Lineage: Bacteria; Pseudomonadati; Gemmatimonadota.